AUCAGCCUUUCGUGUGCGAUUCUGUGGAGUUUGAGGAGCUUAACACCUUCAUGCUUUGCAUAUUCGUGCUCUUGGGUGUACUUGCCCGUGUGGUUGGUUAACAUCAAUUUCGGGCACCAUAAAAUGGCUGGAGGAAUGUAGCUUUGAUCUUGUAUUGAAGUGUUAUAGCCUUCGGUAGAUGUGGUGAUCGAGAUUGAGGAUUGCAACGGAUACCUUUCGGGGCUACCUGUCUGAUCUCUGAUCGUUGCUUUGGUGCUGAAAGCGUGCUUAUAGUUAUCAAAGUCGAUGGUCAAUAGGUUAGAAUGGGUUAAAUUCGUUAAGGAUGUUGACGUAAUGGCUUU
This 341-nucleotide ribosomal RNA is filed under the name uncultured Glomeromycotina. Its description in RNAcentral is "eukaryotic LSU rRNA". Lineage: Eukaryota; Fungi; Glomeromycota. The record is from RNAcentral.